CUUUUGGUUGUCACAACUGGGGAGGUGGCACUACUGGAAUCUAGUGGGAAGAGGUGGGGCGCUGCCAAAUAUCCUCCAACACACAGGACAGCCUUCUACAACAAAAUAUUAUCUGGCCCCCACGGUCAACAGUACUAAGGUUGAAAAACCUUGCCCUAAAUUGUUUAGUACGAACACUGCCAGCUUCUAGUUUCUUGAUGCUACUUCAUUUUUUUUCUUUCAUUCUCUUUGUUUUUGUGGUUUCAUGCCUUUUAAAAACGCUUUACUUUCAGUUAAGAGUCAUUUCUAGCAGGAGUGAUAGUAAACAUCAUUGCUUAAUUGGCACACUUAACCAUAACUCACUUGGUGGAAUUUUAAUUUAUAUUUGUCAAAAAUAUUUCGAUUUGUUUCAAGUGUUGACAUAGAUGAAUAUUCAGUGUCAAGAAGAAUGUGUCACCCAAAGAGUGAAAACAGAGUCCAUGUGGAAUCCACUAGGAAUGGACUUUGGGUCUCAUGGAACAUCCCCUAUAGCUGUUCGAAAGAGCAAGGGAAGAGUCAACUGAUCUCAAGGGUGACAGAGGGAAAGCAGGGAACAGAUACCCGAGCACACACAGGGGGAGGACCACGCGAGGACACAGCAAGAGGGCAGCCAUCUGCAAGCCAAGGACAGAUGUCACAGAAGGACCGGACCCUGCCAGCCCACCUCCACCCCCCAUCUGAGACUUGUGGCCUCCAGCACCGUGAGGAAAGGACAUCUCUGUUGCUCAAGCAACUCAGUCUGUGGUAUUUCGUUAUGGCAGGCCAAGCUGAUUAAUACACAAGGCGAAAGAAUAUCACAAUAAAACAUUUCCCUGAAGAACGAUCCAGACCUUCCCCUUGAUAAAUCCCCUUAGUUCAGCAAUCUCACAAAACACAAGAAGAUCUAUCUAGAGAAGUUCAGUAACUGCUCAAUGAUUCAACUGAGAGCCUGACUAUUUACAAUCGAUGCUGUCUUCCAAAAGGUUACGUCUCAAAGGUUCGUGUCCGACCCGUGCGUGUUCUCCCUCCCGGUCCUCUGAUGAUACUCUCCUGAGUCAUCCCUCAGCUCCCUAAUUGGUUUCUGUUUUCCAAGUGCCAGUUUUCUGAUGGAAGCUGUUUACAGCCUCACCACUUUGGGCAGAGGAGGGGGCGGGAGGGAGACUGUUGACACAAGCUGUUUCUAAGAAACUCAUCGCUUGUUGUCCCCUUGGUACAGUCUGUGAUGGGAGAAGGGUCCAAAGGGACCGACUUAGGGAACAAAAUAGAAAAUUCGAAGCUGGGUGUGAUUACUCGCAGGGUGAUAUUCAUGCAACGUUGGGCAGCUAUGGCCUGAGCUCCUACUCUGCACCGUGUUCUGGGCCAAGCACCGGGGGUGGAGCCCAGAAUGAGCUGACAUUCUAGCUAAGUGUGAUGUCUUAAUUAGUGGACCCAGAGACCCAUGCUGCUUUCAGGUGAAGUUGUGUAUAUUUGUUAAAAAUCCCACACUCUGAAGGGAUCACAGAGAACACUGGAGAGGAGGGUGAGGAAGGGUGGGGAAGGGGUCUGAUCUCCAGAGGAGCUAAGUGGCAGGUGCAGGGUGAAGAGGGGCAGGUGGUGACAGAGGGGGGCUAAAGAGGCAGCCUCUGAAGCGAAGGGGCCCCGACCUCCUCUCCUCUGUAACCUCAGGGCAAGCCCCAGCUCCGUACAGAGGCGGAUGCCUCCUCUGUGGCAGAAAGCCUUGCUGUUCCUGGGCUCCCCUAGCCCCUCUAGGAGGGAGAAGUUUCCAGAAGGAAGGCCUGAGCUCUGUUUCUGGGGCAGGAGAGGGAAACACUGAUGCAUCCACUGCAAGCCCCACCUGAGCAACUGCAGUAAAGGCCUUCGCAGUGGCCCUCCACUAACCUCAGACCUUCCCCUUAGCACCCCCACCUCACCCCAGCCCACCCCAGCCCACCGUGGGGACAGAAAGCAGAUCCCCAAACAAUACCCAGGGUCAACCAAACCAAAAGCUGGUUCUUUGGGAAAAUGUCCAGCUCUACCCGCAUGGAAAAUAAUCAGCCCACAGAAAAUUAAAGGUUUUACUGCUUCAGGAAACAGAGAAAUAGAUGGAAAAAUUGAGAGGAAAAAAUGCUAAUGCUAAGUGAUGAAGAGUGACCAUGGGAAUGAACUUAUUAAAGACCUGACCCGGAGCCUCUGUCACUGUUGGGUUUCUGUCAGCGGGCACGCCAUUUGAAAGCCUGAUGCGAGUUCAGUGGAUUUGACCUGAUGCUGGAAGGAAGAGAUUACUCAAAUUCUGCAAAGAUGACAGCUUCCAGGGAUCCUCGUGGGGUACAGGAGCUAUUCUGUUACUUCUGAGUUUGAACCUUUGAACCUUGAAUUUCUUGUUGGGCUCUUCAUCUGUGGCCCCGGUUGAACCAAACUUGCUGAUAUUCAUGCCAUUUUAAAUCCCCUCCCCUUGAGGCUGGGCUGGUCCUGUGACCACUGGGAUGGAUAAAAGUAUGGUGGAAAUGACUUUCUGGGACUUCUUAGCCCAGCUAUACUAAGAAUGUCUGGAGAGUUCUGCUCUUGCAUUCUGGGAGAGGGGGCCGCAUUGUAAGGGGUAUGACCACUCUGAGCCUAGCAUGGAGAGAAGAAACCCAGGCCAGCUAGCCACACGAAGAGGCCCAUAGAAAGGGGGUGCCCGGCGAGCCCCACCUCAUGUGCCAGGCAUAUAAGCAAGCAGGCGGUCUUGGGUGGAUUCCAGCCACAUGGAGCCAUGUGGAACAGAGAUGGGCCGCUCCUGCCAAGCCCUGCCCAAACCGCAGAAUU
Long non-coding RNA from Canis lupus familiaris (dog), 2781 nucleotides. RefSeq lists it as uncharacterized. The transcript is spliced from 3 exons. NCBI's taxonomy places the organism in Eukaryota, Metazoa, Chordata, Mammalia, Carnivora, Canidae. The record is from RefSeq and is a predicted model, not a curated record.